CUUCUAUAAUCUGGAAAAAAUUAUAAUUUUAAAAAUUUUUGUUCUUAAAGGAAGAUAUUUCCAAAUCAGUCGAUCUCACUUGGUAGCGUACCCUAAUGUAAAUACAGAGCGAAACUAUGGCUAUAUCUUCUCCUUCACUAAAGUGGAAAAGAAGCUCAGAAUUGAAUUGGAUGACUAGGAGUUCAUCUGAGUGUGAAAGGGAACUCCAGGAGUGUAACCUGUACUGAUACACAAAUGGCUCGAAGGUACCAGAAGGCAUAGGCGCUGGAAUAUACGGCCCCGGAACCAAGCGUUCCAAGUAUCUUCCAAGUAAAGGUGAAUGCUAUCUGUCUACGUUUAGAGAUUAUCUUAAAUAGGAACUUCCAGAAUGAGCGAAUUGUCAUUCUGAGUGACAGUCAGGCGGCACUCAAGGCUUUGUCAUCCUCCGAGAAUAAGUCUUCACUGGUUCUUCAUUGAAUGGAGAAACAGAAUCUGUUAGGAACGCACAAUCGCAUCCGGCUAAUUUAGGAUCUAAAUGCAGUCAGGAAAAAGGCACAUACGCUCAGUCCAACCCAGCUCUAUCUUAAGUUUAAUAAGGGAACUGGAUUUGGACGAUGUGCUGUGAUGAGUAGAGGGCCCAAAAGACGAUGAGAACCAAUAUUCAAUGAAACUUCCUACAUUUUGAAUUUCUUAAUAUAACUAGAUCAGAUUUGAGCUGUGCGUGCCUAUAAACUUAAUUAAUUGUGGUUCCGCAGAAAUACACCAAAUACCAAAAAGGGUCACUGAAAGCGUUAACAGAUUAAUUCUUAUCAUAAAAUCGUUCACUUCACUAUUUCU
Long non-coding RNA from Anastrepha ludens (Mexican fruit fly), 816 nucleotides. RefSeq lists it as uncharacterized. The transcript has 3 exons. The record is from RefSeq and is a predicted model, not a curated record. Lineage: Eukaryota; Metazoa; Arthropoda; Insecta; Diptera; Tephritidae.